AUUGAACGCUGGCGGCAGGCCUAACACAUGCAAGUCGAACGAGUGGCGGACGGGUGAGUAAUGUCUGGGCAACUUCCUGAUGGAGGGGGAUCACCACUUGAAACCGUCGCUAAUACCCCCUUCCAUCCGUUGUGCCCAGCGGGGAUGAGCUGGUGGGUGGGGUAACGGCUCGCCAGGGCGGCGAUACGCAACGGGUCUGAGAGGAUGAUCAGUCACACGGGAACUGAGACACGGUCCAGACUCCUACGGGAGGCAGAGGUGGGGAAUAUUGGACAAUGGGCGAAGGCCUGAGGCAGACAGGCCGCGGGUGGGAAGAAGGUUUUCGGAUUGUAAAGCACGUUAAGUGGGGAGACGUUACCAACAGAAUAAGCACCGGCUAACUACGUGCCAGCAGCCGCGGUAAUUC
This 406-nucleotide ribosomal RNA is filed under the name uncultured bacterium. RNAcentral describes it as "partial 16S ribosomal RNA". It matches the Rfam family "Bacterial small subunit ribosomal RNA", at positions 29 to 526 of the family's 1533-position model. The record is from RNAcentral.